This 169-nucleotide ribosomal RNA is filed under the name uncultured bacterium. Its description in RNAcentral is "partial 16S ribosomal RNA". The record is from RNAcentral.
UACCGGAGGCGGCAGUGGGGAAUGGUGGACAAGGGAGGCAAGCCAGAUCCAGCCCAGCCGCGCGGGUGACGAAGGCAUUCGGGUGUAAAGCUAAUAGUUGGGAAGAAGAAGAGAUAGUUAAUAAGUUAGGGGAAUGACGGUACCGAAGAAUAAGCACUGGCAAUUAUUG